This 253-nucleotide ribosomal RNA is filed under the name uncultured bacterium. RNAcentral describes it as "partial 16S ribosomal RNA". It matches the Rfam family "Bacterial small subunit ribosomal RNA", at positions 524 to 776 of the family's 1533-position model. The record is from RNAcentral.
UACGGGGGGGGCAAGCGUUGUUCGGAAUUACUGGGCGUAAAGGGCUCGUAGGUGGCCAACUAAGUCAGACGUGAAAUCCCUCAGCUUAACUGGGGAACUGCGUCUGAUACUGGAUGGCUUGAGUUUGGGAGAGGGAUGCGGAAUUCCAGGUGUAGCGGUGAAAUGCGUAGAUAUCUGGAGGAACACCGGUGGCGAAGGCGGCAUCCUGGACCAAUCUGACACUAGGAGCGAAAAGCCAGGGGGAGCAAACGGG